CAUUGAUGGAAAUUACACAAUUCCUUCACCCUUUUGCAAAGAAUAAAACAGAAACAAAACCCCAAAAGACCACCACAACAAGUCCCACGAAUACCUCACUCAACCAAAAGGGCUGUGAACGCAGACCACACCUUCCUGAACAUGCACCAGGAGCACUUGGCCCAGGAAAGGUAUCUGAGCAUCAGGGGACAGCAACAUCUCGGUGGAACCCUCAAGGGCCCUAUAAGACAAUAAUAAGCAUACAAAAUGUGUUCAUCAGAGUCCCAGAGUUCUGUGAUGAGCUUUGGUGUGAGUGGGAGGGAGGCUAGGGGUGAGAAGUUAAGGAGCAUCGGACUCCAAUCUCUUACCCACCUUUUCACCCGAGAUCAAAGCUUCACUUUUAGCUGCUUCCUGUACUGGGGCAAUGUAGGGGAGUUCGCUUAUGAAAGGGGCUCUGCUGAUUGAGGCAAGCUUAAACACAGGAAUUGCUAAUCUGACAUUCUUGCAUCCUAAGAGUGAAGAAAAACGAGCCCGAAAGAUGUUAAGUGACCUAUCUAAAGAGGCCCGGC
This 548-nucleotide long non-coding RNA is filed under the name Homo sapiens (human). RNAcentral describes it as "HSALNT0227578". Lineage: Eukaryota; Metazoa; Chordata; Mammalia; Primates; Hominidae. The record is from RNAcentral.